AUAGAAUAAAAAUCAAUACAUAGAAUUAUAUCUAAAAUUAUGAAAGAUUAAAAGUCAAGCGAAUCACCUACGAUCUACGAUCUAAUGAUUAAUAAUCGAGGAUUAAUGUCUCUUUUAAUUAGAAAAUAGUAAGUUUCUAAGCUAUUAUUAGCGAAACGUUGAAUUCUUAAAAAUAGAUAUCUU
Molecule: long non-coding RNA, 183 nt
Organism: Bombus impatiens (common eastern bumble bee)
Lineage: Eukaryota; Metazoa; Arthropoda; Insecta; Hymenoptera; Apidae
Exons: 3
Source: RefSeq, a predicted model, not a curated record